Molecule: long non-coding RNA, 279 nt
Organism: Myotis brandtii (Brandt's bat)
Lineage: Eukaryota; Metazoa; Chordata; Mammalia; Chiroptera; Vespertilionidae
Exons: 3
Source: RefSeq, a predicted model, not a curated record
GAAUACUUGUGAACAAUUCUAAACUCCUUUAUUUCUCUUUUCUCUUUCAGAUUCCACUAGUAUCCAUUGAGGACCCCAAAGGAAAUCGCAUCGCACAAUGGCAGAAGGUCAAGUUAGAGAGUGGCCUCAAGCAAUUGGCCUUUCCCCUCUCAUCAGAGCCAUUUCUGGGCUCCUAUAAGGUGCUGGUACAGGAAGAAUCAGGUGAAACGGCAGAGCACCCCUUCACCGUGGAGGAAUUUGUGCUUCCCAAGUUUGAAGUGAAAGUAACAGUGCCAAAGA